UUUUUGUUGAAUAUAAAUCAAAGAAAACUUUGAUGAGUUAAAUUCGUUCAUGGCAAUCCAAUGAGAAUGAGGUCCAUCAAACCAAAGGCUCUGAUAGCGUCAUGUAUUGCGCAUGCUCCACGCCCACCGGAUGCGGAAAGGUCCGUUGAGAAGUUAACGAGCGCACGUGGAGUUACUUCUUUGGCAUACCUGAUAGUGAGAAAUACAUCACAAAAUAAAGCCACAUUCCCAUGCUCUGAGAUUCUUAUGCACCUCCUCAACAAUACAUGUGACGUGUAUGUGGCAGUGCAAGCAUUGUGUUACCAGAGAGAGCAGCAGGUACAAAUUACUUCAACAUUAUAAAC
Molecule: non-coding RNA, 344 nt
Organism: Maylandia zebra (zebra mbuna)
Lineage: Eukaryota; Metazoa; Chordata; Actinopteri; Cichliformes; Cichlidae
Source: RefSeq, a predicted model, not a curated record